AGGACUAACGCUGGCGGCGUGCCUAACACAUGCAAGUCGAACGAGGUAGCAAUACCUAGUGGCAGACGGGUGAGUAACGCGUGGUCAACCUACCCUUGAGUGGGGGAUAACCUAGGGAAACCUGGGCUAAUACCACAUAAUACCUUCGGGUCAAAGGAGCAAUUCGCUUAAGGAGGGGGUCGCGGCCGAUUAGUUAGUUGCGGGGUAAUGGCCCACCAAGACGAUGAUCGGUAUCCGG
This 238-nucleotide ribosomal RNA is filed under the name uncultured bacterium. Its description in RNAcentral is "partial small subunit ribosomal RNA". It matches the Rfam family "Bacterial small subunit ribosomal RNA", at positions 26 to 290 of the family's 1533-position model. The record is from RNAcentral.